UACAGAGGUCUCAAGCGUUGUUCGGAUUCAUUGGGCGUAAAGGGUGCGUAGGCGGCGAGGUAAGUCAGAUGUGAAAUCCCGGAGCUUAACUCCGGAACUGCAUUUGAUACUGCUUUGCUUGAGGACUGGAGAGGAGAUCGGAAUUCACGGUGUAGCAGUGAAAUGCGUAGAUAUCGUGAGGAAGGCCAGUGGCGAAGGCGGAUCUCUGGACAGUUCCUGACGCUGAGGCACGAAGGCCAGGGGAGCAAACGGG
Molecule: ribosomal RNA, 253 nt
Filed under: uncultured bacterium
Lineage: Bacteria
Also listed under: 1 other name
Description: partial 16S ribosomal RNA
Rfam family: Bacterial small subunit ribosomal RNA
Source: RNAcentral